Long non-coding RNA from Oncorhynchus tshawytscha (Chinook salmon), 4231 nucleotides. RefSeq lists it as uncharacterized. NCBI's taxonomy places the organism in Eukaryota, Metazoa, Chordata, Actinopteri, Salmoniformes, Salmonidae. The record is from RefSeq and is a predicted model, not a curated record. The transcript has 2 exons.
UCUACUGGCUGUCAUAGUACUGUAGGAGACUAGACCAUUCUACUGGCUGACUGACCGUCACAGUACUGUAGGAGACUAGACCAUUCUACUGGCUGUCAUAGUACUGUAGGAGACGAGACCAUUCCACUGGCUGACUGACCGUCACAGUACUGUAGGAGACAAGACCGUUCCACUGGCUGACUGACUGUCAUAGUACUGUAGGAGACUAGACCAUUCCACUGGCUGACUGACCGUUAUAGUACUGUAGGAGACUAGACCAUUCCACUGGCUGAUUGACCGUUAUAGUACUGUAGGAGACGAGACCAUUCCACUGGCUGACUGACCGUCAUAGUACUGUAGGAGACGAGACCAUUCCACUGGCUGACUGACCGUCAUAGUACUGUAGGAGACAAGACCGUUCCACUGGCUGACUGACCGUCAUAGUACUGUAGGAGACAAGACCGUUCCACUGGCUGACUGACCGUCAUAGUACUGUAGGAGACGAGACCAUUCCACUGGCUUGGAGGAGACGCCUGGCUGACUGACCGUUAUAGUACUGUAGGAGACGAGACCAUUCCACUGGCUUGGAGGAGACGCCUGGCUGACUGACCGUCAUAGAUGCAUGUUUGUGUAGGUGACUGAUGGGCAAAGUGACCUGUUAAUAAUAUAUGUUUUGCAAUAAUGUAUUGAUGAUUUCAAUAGUUUGUUCCCUUUUUGUUUGUGUUCUUUUUCCAUCUGCUAAUGCUAUUGUGAAAGUGUGACUUGCUGUGGUUAAAAUUAGCCUCAUCUGGCACUGAGAAUGAUGAUCCACCACUGACUUGUUGGGGAUAUAUCUGCUCCUCCACGCCCUGUUGGUCCCCCCCUACUGUGAUACACAACUGACUGGAUGGAGGGAUGGUGGAGGAAGAGGAGAUACACAACUGACUGGACGGAGGGAUGGUGGAGGAAGAGGAGAGAUUAUGCUGUGGAGUUGACGUUGUUGUUCUGGUGAAGGGAAGGGUCCUCAUAUUGGCUCCCAGAGAGAGAGAGAGAGAGAGCGAGGACAAAGCACUGCCUCUCUGUGAAAUCAUCUGCCCUUUCUGCACAAUGACCACAUCCAUCCUCCUUGCCAACCUUGGCCCUCUGGGGAAAACCUGUGUGUGUGUGUGUGUGUGUGUGUGUGUGUGUGUGUGUGUGUGUGUGUGUGAGAGAGAGUCUGCUAGAUUCUGAGCAGCACUGAAGGAUUUGCAUAGACUGUUGAUUUUAAAUUAGCAAUAUUUGAACCAAGUAUCGCCACAACAUUUUAAAUGAGGAAGAAAAAAACCAAGCAAAUGGAAUGCUGGGGGAUGGGUCUGCUGCACCUCUGCAUCGAUGAGGGAUACAGGAGAGGGCCUUCACUACCCCAGCAUCACCCACGCUGGCUGACUGCUGCUGUUGAGCUUCAUGCAUAAAACAGUGUGUGUAAUGGGUUUAACGUGGACAUUUAAUCUUCCUGUUUUUGGAAGAACCAGGCUUUUAUCUCUUUGUUUGUGAGCCAAAUAUUACAUAUAUAUAUAUAUACAUAUAUAUAUAUAUAUAUAUACUCUUUCAAGAUUUCAGAUAUGCCUUCUCAAGACCUUGACAAGCACAAACCUAUUAUUACUUACUAAUCUUUCAAAAGAAAAAAAAUCCCGUUGUCAUUUCCACUUGUUUUUAAGAGUAUAGUUUUUAAAUAGUAUUAUUUAUUGGUUUUUAGCUAUCUUAGAGACAACGUGUUAAAGGACAAGGUCAGAGCACUAACGUGGGAGUGUGUGGUUAAAUGGUGUGUGUUCUAAUCUCAAGGCAACUUAACUUGGGUCAGGUCUUGUUGUUAGGCCGUGCUAACUAAUGGUGUUGUAAAAGAUUCAUGUUGUAUGCUGCAUAGCGUCAGUGUGAAAGCUUCUCGAUAAUCGUCUUGUUUUGAAGACAAAAUAAUGUUAUAACUCCCUGUUGUAAAACAUCUCUAGUGACCUGACAAGACAGACGCUCUGGCUUUGUCCCAGCUGAGCUGACUGCACUAUUUACAGUGAUGAUCAGGACAGGAAGGGGUUGGAGACAAAGAUGGAGGGAGGAGUGGUGUUUGGUAGAGUGAUACUGUUGGACAUCUAUAGGGUUGUGUCCCAAAUGGUAUCCUAUGUAGUGCACUACUUUUGACCAGGGCCCAUAGGGACCAAUGCACUAUAUAUAGUGAUAGGGUUCCACUUGGGACUGUCCUCAUCUUUGUUCAGAUUUCCAAAAAGAAAUGUUGUUGGGGUAAAAAAAAUAAUAUAUAUAAAUAUAAAAUGUUACUCUGGGUGUCUUUUGUAAGUGUUGUGUGAGUAGGGGGACUCCUUUCUAUUCCCAACUACACCAAUAAGCACUGAUAGGCAGAUGUAACUUUUUCUAUAGCGAAUGUGAGUCUCUUUGUGACGUGUGUUACCACCUUUAAAGAAUGAGAAAAAAAAAAGCCAUCUUGAUGAGUUUAAAGUAAAAACCCACAGCUUUGAGAGUUAAUCUGUGUACAUAUCUGUCCACUGGCAUAUAAAACAAUCCCUCAGGGCUUCUCAGUAUAUAAGAAUAAAGGAAAACGGUCUGUUUUGAUGGGACAGAUACCAUGAAAGGAUUGGUGGUGGAUUUGAAUUGUUCUUGGUUGUUUUCCUCAGCCCACGCAUAUUUUUAAUGUAAUCUAUUCAAAUACUAGUAAUAAUAAUUGUUGACUUAUGAUUUUUUUUUGCCAGAGUAGUGGAUAUUGCAUCAUAUUAUCAUACAUUUAGUUUGUGUUCUUAAACAACCACACGAUGUACAGACAUGUAUACUUACAUAACGGUUGUGAUCAAUUUUAAAACGUGCCAUUGAUGCACACUAUCCUACCUAAACAUAUUUUAAAAAACACUUCCAAAACAACUCUAAAGGUGUUUGCAUGAUUUAAAACAAAUUUUUAAAAAAUAAAAUAAAACCAAGUGUGUAUUUUCAGUGAACGAUAUCUAGCCAUGGGGGACGGUGGACUAUUUAACGGUGCACAACAUGCAUGUCCUACUCGGUCCCAACUGGUUUUUAGCUCUAGUCGGCUUCGGGUUCGUUCUUCAGAUGGCGUUCCGUCACUGCUCAGCUGAUAACUGCCAUGCGUUGUACUGCACACGUUUGUAACCCAACUGAAUCACUACAAGAUUUUAUUUGCGCUUUUAUUAAAAUUAAAGUUGUCUGGACUUGGAACUGGGGAGAAAUCCUGGAUUUUUAAAGUUGUUUAGUUAGCAUACAUAUUAUAUGUUAUUAUUGCGUUAGAUAAUAAACCUGUCUAGAACCUAGGUAACUGAAAGCCAUAGUGAAAAACCAUUCUGAUCUGAUUUAGGUAUGAUGUUGUUUGACAUGAGGAUCUGAUUGGAUGGAUUCUUAGAGCAUGUUGCUAUGCUAAUAGCCUUAAAAUGGUCAGUUACAUUCAACACAGUUAAAGGACAUUUAAAAAAAUAAAAAAUAAAUGUUAGUCAAACUAAUAACCACCUACUUUAUUCUCAAUGUAGAUUUGACAUCUAGAUUUUUAAAUGUCUUUUAUUCACUUAUUGAAACAUUAGUGCCAUGGUUUGGGGGUAAACAUCUAUUUGGCUUUAAUGACCAUAUUGUAAAGGCUGAGGACAUUUUAAAAUCAAAACAUAACAAAAAUAGAAUCUUGUAGUCUUUCUGUGAUCCAAUUAAUUAAUGAUCUCACAGUGCGUGUGGUGCAAAGGAAAACAAUUAGAAGAAAAUGGUGUACCAGCUAAAAUUCAUUUUUAUUUAGGAUAUGAUUUCUGUGGUUGCGUCGUAGGUUUCCACUGUUUUCCAAUGAUCUGUUGCUGGUGGCGAGAAUAGUGUUCUGUUUACUGCUUCUACUGCUUCUACGGGGGCUUCCCAUCCAACCGGCCAGGGGCAUGUUCGGUGUUAGAAACAACAGAUGUUUGCUUUGGUACUUGCACAUUUACAGUUACCUCAAUUUUGCCACCUUUUGGAUUUUAAAAAAAUAUAAAAAAAUAAUAGCUAAUAUAUUAUACAUAUAUAUAUAUAUAUAUGUAUAUUAGGACAAUGGUUCUAUGUUUUCAUUCCAUUGGAAGCAUAUUGUUUGUAGCAUUUAACUAGUUAGUGUAUACACACCUGUAUACUGAUUGACAUUUUUCAGAUUUGUACUUUUUUAAACUGAAAGUUGCUAGUUCUGCUUUACCCGAGUCGUGCAAUCAUUUAUUUUUUAUUUUUAUCGUGGCUGAUUUGAGAGUGUUGUUCACUAAUAAACGUAUGAUGUAUACCAAUA